CUCUGGCCGGAUCUGCCUGCUCCGUCCGUCGGAAAACGCCGCCCGUAGCCCUUCUCUCUCGCCCGCUCACUCCGGUGCCGGUCGUCCUUGUCCCUGUCCCUCCGCUAGAGCAGGGUAAAAAACAAGGUGAAAUAACAAUCUUUAUGCGUUUAUCUGCUGUGUGUGUAGUGGGCUUACGCCUCUCUGUCCCAACGAUAUAUUCCACAAAUUUUUCAUCUUUCGAUUUGGGUUUUCAACAAGUUUGCAGGUACAAGAUGCCUGUUUGCAGCUUGGACAGAGUUCAUUGGAACUGCUACUGCUUCUCCACCAGUUCCAGUAGAUGUUGCCAGGCAGGUUCCAGUAGAUGUUGCGGGCAUAUGGUCAAAACACUGGGAACUUUGUUCAUUAUGCAUUUGAUUUUAUAGCUUUUAGAUUCUGAAUUAAUUGAAAACAAUGGCAGAAGGCAAAGAUUACUGUGAGCGUAAAUUCAACUUGCUGAGAUCUAACUUUGAUCAACUUGUUGAGGAUGCUUGUCUAUGAGUAUGUAAGCAAUGGGAAUUUGGAGCAGUGGCUUCAUGGGGAUGUAAGGCCUUGCAGCCCUCCUACUUGGGAGAUUCGGAUGAAUAUCAUCCUUGGAACAGCAAA
Alnus glutinosa is the source of this 624-nucleotide long non-coding RNA. RefSeq lists it as uncharacterized. The record is from RefSeq and is a predicted model, not a curated record. NCBI's taxonomy places the organism in Eukaryota, Viridiplantae, Streptophyta, Magnoliopsida, Fagales, Betulaceae. The transcript has 4 exons.